Molecule: ribosomal RNA, 253 nt
Filed under: uncultured bacterium
Lineage: Bacteria
Description: partial 16S ribosomal RNA
Rfam family: Bacterial small subunit ribosomal RNA
Source: RNAcentral
UACGAAGGGGGCUAGCGUUGUUCGGAAUUACUGGGCGUAAAGGGCGCGUAGGCGGAUAUUUAAGUUGGGGGUGAAAUCCCGGGGCUCAACCUCGGAAUUGCCUUCAAAACUGGAUAUCUUGAGUUCGGGAGAGGUGAGUGGAACUCCGAGUGUAGAGGUGAAAUUCGUAGAUAUUCGGAAGAACACCAGUGGCGAAGGCGACUCACUGGCCCGAUACUGACGCUGAGGCGCGAAAGCGUGGGGAGCAAACAGG